GAUGAACGCGGCGGCGUGCCUAACACAUGCAAGUCGAGCGAGAAGCCAUAAAAGGACACUUCGGUAGAAUUAUAUGGCGGAAAGCGGCGGACGGGUGAGUAACGCGUGGGAAACCUGCCUUUCACAGAGGGAUAGCCGAAGGAAACUACGAUUAAUACCUCAUAAAGCAAAAGCUUCGCAUGGAGCGAUUGCCAAAGAAUAAUCGGUGAAAGAUGGUCCCGCGUCUGAUUAGUUAGUUGGUAAGGUAGCGGCUUACCAAGGCGACGAUCAGUAGCCGGCCUGAGAGGGUGAACGGCCACAUUGGAACUGAGACACGGUCCAGACUCCUACGGGAGGCAGCAGUGGGGGAUAUUGCACAAUGGGCGAAAGCCCUGAUGCAGCAAACGCCCGCGUGAAGGAAAGAAGGCUUU
This 410-nucleotide ribosomal RNA is filed under the name [Eubacterium] minutum. RNAcentral describes it as "bacterial SSU rRNA". It matches the Rfam family "Bacterial small subunit ribosomal RNA", at positions 28 to 418 of the family's 1533-position model. The record is from RNAcentral. Lineage: Bacteria; Bacillati; Bacillota; Clostridia; Peptostreptococcales; Anaerovoracaceae.